This 128-nucleotide ribosomal RNA is filed under the name Vibrio cholerae. Its description in RNAcentral is "partial 16S ribosomal RNA". It matches the Rfam family "Bacterial small subunit ribosomal RNA", at positions 1 to 120 of the family's 1533-position model. Lineage: Bacteria; Pseudomonadati; Pseudomonadota; Gammaproteobacteria; Vibrionales; Vibrionaceae. The record is from RNAcentral.
UUAAUUGAAGAGUUUGAUCAUGGCUCAGAUUGAACGCUGGCGGCAGGCCUAACACAUGCAAGUCGAGCGGCAGCACAGAGGAACUUGUUCCUUGGGUGGCGAGCGGCGGACGGGUGAGUAAUGCCUGG